UUUCAUAACUUCUCUUUGUGUGUGUGUUUU
RNAcentral lists this small RNA (30 nucleotides) under Arabidopsis thaliana (thale cress). RNAcentral's name for it is "ATSL300700". Lineage: Eukaryota; Viridiplantae; Streptophyta; Magnoliopsida; Brassicales; Brassicaceae. The record is from RNAcentral.